AUUGAACGCUGGCGGCAGGCCUAACACAUGCAAGUCGAACGAGUGGCGGACGGGUGAGUAAUGCGUGAGAAACUGGCUAUUGGAGGGGGAUAACCACUGGGAACGGUAGCUAAUUCCGCAUUCCAUCAAUUGUGCCCAGCUGGGAUUGACUAGUUGGAGGGUUAACGGCUCACCAGGGCGGCGAUCCCAAGCUGGUCUGAGAGGAUAACCAGCAACACGGGAACUGAGACACGGUCCAGACUCCUACGGUAGGCACCAGUGGGGAAUAUUGCACAAUGGGCGCAAGCCUGCUGCAGCCAUGCCGCGGGUAUGAAGAAGGCCUUCGGUUUGUAAAGUACUUUCAGCGGGGAGGCGUUACCCGCAGAAGAAGCACCGGCUAACUCCGUGCCAGCCGCCGCGGUAAUAC
This 406-nucleotide ribosomal RNA is filed under the name uncultured bacterium. RNAcentral describes it as "partial 16S ribosomal RNA". It matches the Rfam family "Bacterial small subunit ribosomal RNA", at positions 30 to 526 of the family's 1533-position model. The record is from RNAcentral.